RNAcentral lists this ribosomal RNA (425 nucleotides) under uncultured bacterium. Its description in RNAcentral is "bacterial SSU rRNA". It matches the Rfam family "Bacterial small subunit ribosomal RNA", at positions 354 to 796 of the family's 1533-position model. The record is from RNAcentral.
GUGGGGAAUAUUGCGCAAUGGGGGAAACCCUGACGCAGCGACGCCGCGUGGAGGAUGAAGGUCUUCGGGUUGUAAACUCCUUUUCUUAGGGAAAAUAAUGAUGGUACCUAAGGAAUAAGCCACGGCUAACUCUGUGCCAGCAGCCGCGGUAAGACAGAGGUGGCAAGCGUUGUUCGGAAUUACUGGGCUUAAAGGGCGAGUAGGCGGUGAGACAAGUCCGAGGUGGAAUCCUUUGGCUUAACCAGAGAACUGCCUUAGAUACUGUUUCACUUGAGUCAGUGAGGGGAGGGCGGAAUUCCCGGUGUAGCGGUGAAAUGCGUAGAUAUCGGGAGGAAGGCCAGUGGCGAAGGCGGCCCUCUGGUGCUGAACUGACGCUGAGGCGCGAAAGCGUGGGUAGCAAACAGGAUUAGAAACCCGUGUAGUCC